AUUGUCUGUAGAGAAAAAGAAACGUCAAUUUUUAUUUUCUCUUAUCAUCUUUAACAUUCUGAUUUUCUCAAAUCUGAGAUAUUUGAAGUUCUUUUUCUGAUUCUUCCAUGUCAACAAAAGAAAUAAUAGAUUAAUUUAGAAGGUAAUCAUGUAGAGAGAAGCAUCGAUCAUUGCUUGUCCAUAUCGUUUUCAUCUCCACGAUGCAAGAUUGGAAUGGUUCCAGAUAAUCGAAAUAGGAAACAUGUUGGGGGAGAUUCGUUUAUUACAAUAAAGUGAGCAGGUGAUUCAAUCUUAUCAGUUGUGGACAGCCAUAUAUGAUUUGAGAUAGGUAUGAUGUAUUAAGAAGCAUCAAAAACUAAAGAAUGGGAGUUUUCUUUCACUUAGCCUCACUCACAAGGAGGUGGGUGGAUUUUUUACACAAAUCGCGUGAUGGUCAGAGAGAUUAUCCAACCUUCGUAAUUCUUGUAUAUGUUGACUUGGUUCUUGAGGGAAAUGGGUCAAAGUCUUUCAGGUUAAAUCCUAACGGAUCAUGUGCCCCUUUUAUCUUUGUCCACAAAUGAAUACCAUUCUGCAUCAGAUAAAAGUUAUGUUUUUUCUUUGUAGACACAAAUCUCGCAUAAGAUCCUCGUAGAAGGCAAGGAAAAUUUGUGUAUUUUUUAUUUUAUUCUUGAAGAUAAAUAAUUGGAGGAGGGGAAAUAAUUAAAGGUUAUGUAAUUUUCAAAAAAGGAUCAGCCUGGACUUGUUAUUUUUGAGUUGUA
Molecule: non-coding RNA, 758 nt
Organism: Camelina sativa (false flax)
Lineage: Eukaryota; Viridiplantae; Streptophyta; Magnoliopsida; Brassicales; Brassicaceae
Source: RefSeq, a predicted model, not a curated record